Molecule: non-coding RNA, 18 nt
Filed under: Arabidopsis thaliana (thale cress)
Lineage: Eukaryota; Viridiplantae; Streptophyta; Magnoliopsida; Brassicales; Brassicaceae
Source: RNAcentral
UAGCCAACGACACGUGCC